Molecule: ribosomal RNA, 484 nt
Filed under: uncultured bacterium
Lineage: Bacteria
Description: partial 16S ribosomal RNA
Rfam family: Bacterial small subunit ribosomal RNA
Source: RNAcentral
AUUGAACGCUGGCGGCAGGCCUAACACAUGCAAGUCGAGCGGAUGAAGGGAGCUUGCUCCUGGCUUCAGCGGCGGACGGGCGAGUAAUGCCUAGGAAUCUGCCUGGUAGUGGGGGAUAACGUCCGGAAACGGGCGCUAAUACCGCAUCCGUCCUGAGGUAGAAAGUGGGGGAUCUUCGGACCUCACGCUAUCAGAUGAGCCUAGGUCGGAUUAGCUAGUUGGUGGGGUAAAGGCCUACCAAGGCGACGAUCCGUAACUGGUCUGAGAGGAUGAUCAGUCACACUGGAACUGAGACACGGUCCAGACUCCUACGGGAGGCAGCAGUGGGGAAUAUUGGGCAAUGGGCGAAAGCCUGAUCCAGCCAUGCCGCGUGUGUGAAGAAGGUCUUCGGAUUGUAAAGCACUUUAAGUUGGGAGGAAGGGCAGUAAGUUAAUACCUUGCUGUUUUGACGUUACCAACAGAAUAAGCACCGGCUAACUUCGUG